Molecule: non-coding RNA, 211 nt
Filed under: Aurantiacibacter atlanticus
Lineage: Bacteria; Pseudomonadati; Pseudomonadota; Alphaproteobacteria; Sphingomonadales; Erythrobacteraceae
Source: RNAcentral
AGGGCCGGCGACGUCACGGGUUGUUCGCGCUAUGUCAUGAAAGACGUGGGGCGGGCCUAAGAGGGAAAGGGGUUCAACGCCCCCGCUGCCCCCGCAACUGUGACCGGGAAGCAAUCCGGCCAAAUGCCACUGUGCUUGAAUCAGGCGCGGGAAGGCGGCAGGAAAGCGUUGAUCCGGGAGCCAGGAGACCUGCCAGUGACUGUCGUUCGGC